AGGAACCGUGUGCCGGAAAGCUGCUCGCACGGGUCUGUGGGGGGCGGGGAGGCAACGAACUGCUCUACCCGGAA
RNAcentral lists this unclassified non-coding RNA (74 nucleotides) under Niastella yeongjuensis. The record is from RNAcentral. Lineage: Bacteria; Pseudomonadati; Bacteroidota; Chitinophagia; Chitinophagales; Chitinophagaceae.